AUCCGGCUGAUGAGUCCCAAAUAGGAAGAAAUGCGCGUACUGGAU
RNAcentral lists this non-coding RNA (45 nucleotides) under Schistosoma curassoni. Lineage: Eukaryota; Metazoa; Platyhelminthes; Trematoda; Strigeidida; Schistosomatidae. The record is from RNAcentral.